CCAUGGAAGAUGAGGAGUCCAUGGAAGAUGAGGAGUCUGUUGAAGAUGAUUCCGUGGAGAGCAGGAUGGUGGUGACAUUUCUCAUAUCAGCUCUCGAGUCCACGAUGUUGGAAUUUCUGAUGAAUCUGCAGUCAGCAUUUUGCAUGAACUGUGUGUGGAUUCAUUGCCUACAUUGGAUGAUGAAGACUUGAGUGUUGCUACUAAGUGUGUCCCCGAGAAAGUGUCAGAGCCUUUACGUGGACCUUCUCAUGAAAAAGGAAACAGAAUAGUCAAUGGAAAAGGAAAAGGGCCUCCUGCAAAACAUCCUUCCUUGAAGCCUAGCACUGAAGUGGAAGAUCCUGCUGUGAAAGGAGCAGUACAAAGAAAGAAUGUACAGACAUUGAGAGCAGAACAAACCUUACCAGUGGCUUUAGAGGAAGAGCAAGAAAGGUGUGAAAGAAGUGAAAAGAAGCAAUCACAGGUCAAAGAAGGAAAUAAUACAAACAAAAGUGAAAAAAUACAACUAUCAGAAAAUGUAUGUCAUAGUACAUCUUCUGCUGCUGCUGACAGAUUAACCAAAGAAAGAAAGAUUGGGAAAACGUAUCCUCAGCAAUUUCCCAAGAAACUGAAGGAAGAGCAUGAUAGAUGCAUCUUAAGACAAGAAAGUGAAGAAAAAACAAAUGUUAAUAUGCUGUACAAAAAAAUAGAGAAGAAUUAGAAAGGAAAGGGAAACAAUAUAAGAAAGAAGUUGAAGCAAAACAACUUGAACCAACUAUUCAAUCACUAGAGAUGAAACCGAAGACUACAAGAAAUACUCCAAAUCAGAUAAAUAAAUCUUUGGAUUUUCAUAAUCAGGAAGAAAUGAAAGAUCUGAUGGAUGAAAAUUGCAUUUUGAAGACAGAUAUUGCUAUACUCCGACAGGAAAUACGCACAAUGAAAAAUGACAACCUGGAAAAAGAAAAUAAAUAUCUUAAGGACGUUAAAAUUGUUAAAAAAAACAAACGCUGCCCUUGAAAAGUAUAUAAAACUCAAUGAGGAAUUGAUAACAAGAACAGCAUUCCGGUAUCAACAAGAGCUUAAUGAUCUCAAAGCUGAGAAUACAAGGCUCAAUUCCGAUCUGUUGAAGGAAGAAGAAAGCAACAAAAGACUGGAAGCUGAAAUUGAAUCAUCAGUCUAGACUGACUGCUGCUAUAAGUAAGCACAGUGAAAGUGUGAAAAC
This 1198-nucleotide long non-coding RNA is filed under the name Homo sapiens (human). Its description in RNAcentral is "non-protein coding lnc-SMIM11B-5:1". The record is from RNAcentral. Lineage: Eukaryota; Metazoa; Chordata; Mammalia; Primates; Hominidae.